GCAAGUUUUUACUUUCAACUUUUAUUUCCUAAAUAGGAUAAGUUUAAGGAUACUUCAUGUAUGCGAGGACCAAGGAACAUUUGAAAUACCAUCUUGAUGUUGUGUCCCUGGCAGGAAUAGGCAAAUGUAGUGACAUAUAAGUAAAAAAUUGAGCCUAAAAGAAUUAACAGUGGCUCAAUCGAAGUUAGAAUAUGCAUAGAUUUUAAUGAAGUGAGGAAAAACAUAUGAGAACUAGGAGGGAGACUCUUGCUAAAUGGAAAAAGUAAAGCUGUGGCGAGUGGCGUUAUAUUGCCUGUAUUAUUGCUGGGGGAAGAUUCAUAUUUAACAUUUUGGCAUAAUGGUGAUAUUCAACUAAGCAUCUGCCAUCUGUUUGUUCAUUUUUUAUAAGGGAAAUAAUUGCUUCUUAUAACUGCUCCUUUAAGCACUUGUAGAAACUAUGCCAACCAUGUUUGUCAAAAUUGAGGUUCUAUUUAGGAUCAAAAGGGAGGUAAAAGAUCAUAAAUUGUGUGAUCAUAACAUGCCAACAAGAUCAACCUACUAGAAAUAUGAAAAACAUGCUUUUAAAUAAAAGUAUGAUGAUGAUAUUCUUAAUUUUAACAUGAAAAAAUCAAGUAGAAUUCAAAAAAAAAAGGUGGAAUUCAAAUUUAGUUAGUAGUUAUUGGAAAUUAAUAUCUAAAUUUAAACAUCUAUAUUAUAUUUGGUAAUAAUUAUAAAAGAAGAAUGCAGCAAAAGGCAAUAGUAAAGUUUACGGAGAACCCAAAGAUCAGAGAGAAUGUACCUCUUGUUGUGUUGAGUGAUGACAGAAGCUGAGAGUUUUGAUGAGUUAGGGAAGUCUCGGAAGAUAGGUGUGACAAAAGGAGGCUGACUGGUUGGGCAGGGGAAGGAUAGAACUUGGUCAAAUAAAGUAGUAGAGGGUUAAGGUUUCUGAGGUGAAAAAGGGUUUGGAAGAAGGGGUAAAUCUCAUAGUGGUUAG
This 973-nucleotide long non-coding RNA is filed under the name Cicer arietinum (chickpea). RNAcentral's name for it is "long non-coding RNA (CARI_LNC003052)". Lineage: Eukaryota; Viridiplantae; Streptophyta; Magnoliopsida; Fabales; Fabaceae. The record is from RNAcentral.